This 253-nucleotide ribosomal RNA is filed under the name uncultured bacterium. Its description in RNAcentral is "partial 16S ribosomal RNA". It matches the Rfam family "Bacterial small subunit ribosomal RNA", at positions 524 to 776 of the family's 1533-position model. The record is from RNAcentral.
GACAGAGGGUGCAAACGUUGUUCGGAAUUACUGGGCGUAAAGCGCGUGUAGGCGGCUUGGCAAGUCGGGUGUGAAAGCCCUGGGCUCAACCUAGGAAGUGCACUCGAAACUGCGGAGCUGGAGUCCUGGAGAGGAAGGCGGAAUUCUCGGUGUAGAGGUGAAAUUCGUAGAUAUCGAGAGGAACACCGGUGGCGAAGGCGGCCUUCUGGACAGUGACUGACGCUGAGACGCGAAAGCGUGGGGAGCAAACAGG